UACUCCUACGGGAGGCAGCAGUGGGGAAUCUUCCGCAAUGGACGAAAGUCUGACGGAGCAACGCCGCGUGAGUGAUGACGGCCUUCGGGUUGUAAAGCUCUGUUAAUCGGGACGAAAGGCCUUCUUGCGAAUAGUUAGAAGGAUUGACGGUACCGGAAUAGAGAGCCACGGCUAACUACGUGCCAGCAGCCGCGGUAAUACGUAGGUGGCAAGCGUUGUCCGGAAUUAUUGGGCGUAAAGCGCGCGCAGGCGGAUUGGUCAGUCUGUCUUAAAAGUUCGGGGCUUAACCCCGUGAUGGGAUGGAAACUGCCAAUCUAGAGUAUCGGAGAGGAAAGUGGAAUUCCUAGUGUAGCGGUGAAAUGCGUAGAUAUUAGGAAGAACACCAGUGGCGAAGGCGACUUUCUGGACGAAAACUGACGCUGAGGCGCGAAAGCCAGGGGAGCGAACGGGAUUAGAUACCCCGGUAGUCCUGGCCGUAAACGAUGGGUACUAGGUGUAGGAGGUAUCGACCCCUUCUGUGCCGGAGUUAACGCAAUAAGUACCCCGCCUGGGGAGUACGACCGCAAGGUUGAAACUCAAAGGAAUUGACGGA
Molecule: ribosomal RNA, 592 nt
Filed under: uncultured bacterium
Lineage: Bacteria
Description: bacterial SSU rRNA
Rfam family: Bacterial small subunit ribosomal RNA
Source: RNAcentral